This is a long non-coding RNA of Chelonia mydas (Green sea turtle), 808 nucleotides long. RefSeq lists it as uncharacterized. The transcript has 2 exons. Lineage: Eukaryota; Metazoa; Chordata; Testudines; Cheloniidae. The record is from RefSeq and is a predicted model, not a curated record.
UCUUCGACCGAGCCGGGGCAGCAGCCAGAUAGAAACGUCCUCUGGUUCCGCCCACCGCGGCGUCCGCCCCAGCGGGCCCGGCCGCCGCGGCGCAAGGAGAGCGGGAGCCGGGGUCGGUCGUUGCUGGGCCCCUGAGGCCGCCCCACGCCGGUGGUGCUGGGAGGGGAAAGACCGCAGCGGGACAGGUCAUGUGUGGACUGAAGAGGACACAAUUUUGACUCGGGCCAUGCAGCAGUAAAAAGGAACUGGACAGGCAUCAACCCACACUGCCUCUUAUACCCUCCCUUGGGAGCAUGAGGGAAGAUUCUGUGAACAUAUCGGUCCACAGGCAUUGCUUUGAAGAAUCUCUGUACUUGGGCACAUGGCACACCUGUGUACCCCUGUGUGGAAUACACAUAGGGAUCAUCACUCAGAGAAGAACUGUUUGAUCUGAUAGCCCAAGAGCAAUUGUUUUGAGCAGUUAUAGAUAAGGUGAAGGCAGCCAUUUGUGACAAAAAAAAAAAACCUUCCACAGUUUUGAAGGCUGCAGAAAUUGCUGAUACGUUGAAUCAAGGGCUCAUGGGAGGCGCAGAUCCACAGGGAAGGGAAAUCCCCUUGUUAAGAAGAGACGGUGUCUGGAAAUAAACCUAACCCCAACUAUGAUAAAAAGAAACCCUAGGGAGCCCAGAUUUUAAAACCCCUUCCCUAAGAGAAGGCAGAUAGUCUGCCAGCACUGUGGGGCUCCCAGCUACAUAAAGUCAGACUGCCCUAAACUGCAAAUACAGUACAGUACUACUAAAAAAAAUAAAAGGGCAAGUUUAAAAAAAAA